RNAcentral lists this ribosomal RNA (467 nucleotides) under uncultured bacterium. RNAcentral's name for it is "partial 16S ribosomal RNA". It matches the Rfam family "Bacterial small subunit ribosomal RNA", at positions 29 to 507 of the family's 1533-position model. The record is from RNAcentral.
ACGAACGCUGGCGGCGCGCCUAACCCAUGCAAGUCGAACGGAGCUGAGAGAAGCUUGCUUUUCUUAGCUUAGUGGCGAACGGGUGAGUAACGCGUGAGUAACCUGCCCUGGAGUGGGGGACAACAGUUGGAAACGACUGCUAAUACCGCAUAAGCCCACGAUCCGGCAUCGGAUUGAGGGAAAAGGAUUUAUUCGCUUCAGGAUGGACUCGCGUCCAAUUAGCUAGUUGGUGAGGUAACGGCCCACCAAGGCGACGAUUGGUAGCCGGACUGAGAGGUUGAACGGCCACAUUGGGACUGAGACACGGCCCAGACUCCUACGGGAGGCAGCAGUAGGGGAUAUUGCACAAUGGGGGAAACCCUGAUGCAGCGACGCCGCGUGGAGGAAGAAGGUUUUCGGAUUGUAAACUCCUGUCGUUAGGGACGAUAAUGACGGUACCUAACAAGAAAGCACCGGCUAACUACGUG